AAAUACUUUUAAUAGUGUAGAUCAAGUCUAACGGAGCCGAUCGUCGAUUUGAAAGCCGCAUCAUCGAAAACAACUUGGUAGCACGGAGGCCUCCGUGCUACCGAUCGUAUACCAGCCUAGCUCUAUAUAUAUAUAUAUAUAUAUAUAUACACACUUAAUUUGUUCAAGAAUUAAAUAUUUUGUAAUUAAGUAUGAUUUUAAAAUAAUAACAUAUAUAAAUAUAUUUUAUAUAAUAAAAU
This 239-nucleotide long non-coding RNA is filed under the name Ananas comosus (pineapple). RNAcentral's name for it is "long non-coding RNA (ACOM_LNC002076)". Lineage: Eukaryota; Viridiplantae; Streptophyta; Magnoliopsida; Poales; Bromeliaceae. The record is from RNAcentral.